CUGCUCAGAGGUAAACGGAUGGGCCCUCGAAAUCCUGUGGCGGGAGGAUUCAGUCGGACGAUGCGGGUGCGGAUGCGUGCUGGCUUUGAAUAACGAUCUCCUUUUGAGGAAACGGCCGCGUGCACAGUGCCUGCGUCGGACGACGCAUUUGCUUCCCGUCCGAAGGACGCCGCAACCGGUUGGGAGACGGCCUUAAAGGUAGCCGCUGGCAGGUGACUGACUGUGUGCGCGCGAUUCGUCGUGUGCGCGUAGUUUGCGUUAUAGCCUGGCAUGCCGGAUGGCUCGUAACCCGACCGAGGUAUCGCAAAGGCCCUCAUGGGCAAAAUCKAUCGUCUCCUCUGUGAAAUGAUUUCGGACGCAUGAAUGGCGACAGCGGCUCGAAGGCCUUGAGGGCACACGGCAACGAAWCCGUGGCCCACGWCGGUCUCGCCCACGAUGGUUGCCCGCGACGUCCGUUGGAGGUUGGCGGUUGGCGGCGAGUAAAUCGGUCACCCAUCCGACCC
This 503-nucleotide ribosomal RNA is filed under the name Microdipoena nyungwe. RNAcentral's name for it is "partial 28S ribosomal RNA". The record is from RNAcentral. Lineage: Eukaryota; Metazoa; Arthropoda; Arachnida; Araneae; Mysmenidae.